GUCCGACCUGUCUUGUCCUCCUGCCUGAGCGCCUCGGUGGUGUUCAGUGUUUGGGAUGAAUUUCCACUAGCCAUUUGCUUGCAAAUUGAAUGAAAGACACCUUCUGGCCUGUGAAUUUCAGCUCAAGACAGAGUGAUGAAGUACCCACUGGCCCACUCACAGCCCAGGGGGCGCCUCUGCAGGCCAGCUCCAGCCAUCCAGUUCACACGCGGAACCUCGAGGCUCUGCUCACGCACUCCACGGAGGGGAAACUGGACCCAAAUGCAAGUCUGAACACACUCCAGGGAAACAUUUCACAGGCAGCAAAUCCAAGAGUGACCGAGAGAAUCGCGCCGGCUGGCGUCCAUUGCCUCCUUCAGUACACGCUGCGC
Molecule: long non-coding RNA, 371 nt
Filed under: Marmota marmota marmota (Alpine marmot)
Lineage: Eukaryota; Metazoa; Chordata; Mammalia; Rodentia; Sciuridae
Description: lncRNA (ENSMMMG00000013740.1)
Source: RNAcentral